GACGAACGCUGGCGGCGUGCUUAACACAUGCAAGUCGCACGAGGACGGGAGCUUGCUCCCGAGCCGAGUGGCGGACGGGUGAGUAACACGUGACCAACUUGUCCUAGGGUGAGGGACAACCUGGGGAAACCCGGGCUAAUACCGCAUGAUGUCUCGAGGUCGCAUGGCCAUGAGAUCAAAGAGGGCCUCUGCUUGCAAGCUCUCGCCCUGGGAGGGGGUCGCGGCGUAUCAGCUAGUUGGUAGGGUAACGGCCUACCAAGGCUACGACGCGUAGCGGGUCUGAGAGGACGACCCGCCUCAUUGGGACUGAGAUACGGCCCAGACUCCUACGGGAGGCAGCAGUGGGGAAUAUUGCGCAAUGGACGAAAGUCUGACGCAGCGACGCCGCGUGUGGGAGGAAGCUCUUCGGGGUGUAAACCACUGUCAGGAGGGAAGAAACUCGCCGGCCCGAACAGGAACGGCGAUUGACGGUACCUCCAAAGGAAGCGCCGGCUAACUCCGUGCC
This 505-nucleotide ribosomal RNA is filed under the name uncultured bacterium. Its description in RNAcentral is "bacterial SSU rRNA". It matches the Rfam family "Bacterial small subunit ribosomal RNA", at positions 28 to 509 of the family's 1533-position model. The record is from RNAcentral.